AUCAUGCUCGUCAUUUUACUGAGUCUACAGCUCUGUGGCUUGAGUGCAGUCACAUUUUACACCUCAGAAAUCUUUCAGACAGCCAGCCUGCAGGAAAGCAUAAUCCCAUAUGUAUCUCUAGGAGUUGCAGUUUCUGAGGUCAUCUCUCUCAUCUUCUGUAGCUCCAUUAUCGAUCGCUUUGGACGCCGGAUACUCCUGUGGGGUGGUUACUUGCUCAUGGCACUGAUACUCUUGCUGCUUGAAAUAAGCCUUCUGCUGAGUGUAAGUAAAUGUCUCUCUGGGAGCGGAGCUGUGUCAGAACUCUUUGUGCAGGGUGGCAAAUAGUCAUCCUUAGCUU
RNAcentral lists this long non-coding RNA (337 nucleotides) under Amazona collaria (yellow-billed parrot). Its description in RNAcentral is "lncRNA (ENSACOG00000008253.1)". Lineage: Eukaryota; Metazoa; Chordata; Aves; Psittaciformes; Psittacidae. The record is from RNAcentral.